This 748-nucleotide ribosomal RNA is filed under the name uncultured cyanobacterium. RNAcentral describes it as "bacterial SSU rRNA". It matches the Rfam family "Bacterial small subunit ribosomal RNA", at positions 579 to 1326 of the family's 1533-position model. The record is from RNAcentral. Lineage: Bacteria; Bacillati; Cyanobacteriota.
CGCAUCAAGUCUGCUGUUAAAGGCUGGAGCUUAACUCCGGUAGAGCAGUGGAAACUGGUGCGCUAGAGGGCGACAGGGGUAGAGGGAAUUCCCAGUGUAGCGGUGAAAUGCGUAGAGAUUGGGAAGAACACCGGUGGCGAAAGCGCUCUACUGGGUCGCACCUGACCCUCAGGGACGAAAGCUAAGGUAGCGAAAGGGAUUAGAUACCCCUGUAGACUUAGCCGUAAACGAUGGAUACUAGGCGUGGCUUGUAUCGACCCAAGCCGUGCCGAAGCUAACGCGUUAAGUAUCCCGCCUGGGGAGUACGCACGCAAGUGUGAAACUCAAAGGAAUUGACGGGGGCCCGCACAAGCGGUGGAGGAUGUGGUUUAAUUCGAUGCAACGCGAAGAACCUUACCAGGGCUUGACAUCCCGCGAAUCUCGGUGAAAGCCGAGAGUGCCUUCGGGAGCGCGGAGACAGGUGGUGCAUGGCUGUCGUCAGCUCGUGUCGUGAGAUGUUGGGUUAAGUCCCGCAACGAGCGCAACCCUCGUCCUUAGUUGCCAGCAUUGAGUUGGGCACUCUAGGGAGACUGCCGGUGACAAACCGGAGGAAGGUGAGGAUGACGUCAAGUCAGCAUGCCCCUUAUGCUCUGGGCAACACACGUCCUACAAUGGUCGGGACAAAGGGGAGCGAGCUCGCGAGAGUCAGCGAAUCCCAGCAAACUCGGCCUCAGUUCAGAUUGCAGGCUGCAACUCGCCUGCAUGAAGG